UGACUCCUAAAUGUGUAUUAAGGUCUGUUUAUAAGGUAAUUACUUUUUGCAAGCUUUUAUUUUGAAAAUCGCCUUUUUACAUUACGUGACUUUUAUUUUGACGCCACCUCCUGGCGGAAGAAGGAUACUGCUACGGAGAUUUACUGAAGGAGGGAAAGCGCGCAAUUGCGCUGCUUUAUGUCAUCAUAAACUGAUAAUUAAGCGCCUAGCCAGUACGGGAACAAGCUCUUACGGUGUUUUCUGAAGAAAGGUGUUUAAAGAAGAAAAGGUGAAUUUGUGUUCAAAAUAUGGCUAACGGCUGAACAUAAAUAAAAGGCUUCUGAAACAUCA
Molecule: long non-coding RNA, 330 nt
Organism: Sebastes umbrosus (honeycomb rockfish)
Lineage: Eukaryota; Metazoa; Chordata; Actinopteri; Perciformes; Sebastidae
Exons: 2
Source: RefSeq, a predicted model, not a curated record